CGUGUAGGCGGUUAGGUAAGUGAGAUGUGAAAUCCCUCGGCUCACCCGAGGACCUGCAUCUCAUACUGCCCGACUCGAGUAUGGGAGAGGAUGAGGGAAUUCCUGGUGUAGCGGUGAAAUGCGUAGAUAUCAGGAGGAACACCGGUGGCGAAAGCGCUCAUCUGGCCCAAUACUGACGCUGAGGCGCGAAAGCUAGGGGAGCAAACG
RNAcentral lists this ribosomal RNA (207 nucleotides) under uncultured bacterium. RNAcentral's name for it is "partial 16S ribosomal RNA". It matches the Rfam family "Bacterial small subunit ribosomal RNA", at positions 568 to 774 of the family's 1533-position model. The record is from RNAcentral.